This 254-nucleotide ribosomal RNA is filed under the name uncultured bacterium. Its description in RNAcentral is "partial 16S ribosomal RNA". It matches the Rfam family "Bacterial small subunit ribosomal RNA", at positions 524 to 776 of the family's 1533-position model. The record is from RNAcentral.
UACGGGGGGGGCAAGCGUUGUUCGGAAUUACUGGGCGUAAAGGGCUCGUAGGCGGCCAACUAAGUCAGACGUGAAAUCCCCCGGCUUAACCAGGGAACUGCGUCUGAUACUGGAUGGCUUGAGUUUGGGAGAGGGAUGCGGAAUUCCAGGUGUAGCGGUGAAAUGCGUAGAUAUCUGGAGGAACACCGGUGGCGAAGGCGACAUCCUGGACCAAUACUGACGCUGAGUGAGCGAAAGCCAGGGGAGCAAACGGG